This 88-nucleotide transfer RNA is filed under the name bacterium. RNAcentral describes it as "tRNA-Leu". It matches the Rfam family "tRNA". Rfam says of the family: Transfer RNA (tRNA) molecules are approximately 80 nucleotides in length. Their secondary structure includes four short double-helical elements and three loops (D, anti-codon, and T loops). The record is from RNAcentral.
GCCGAGGUGGUGGAAUUGGUAGACACGCUGGGUUCAGGGUCCAGUGGAUAUUGCUUCCAUAGGAGUUCAAAUCUCCUCCUCGGCACCA